AUUGGAAUGAGAAGUGAGUUGAAAAGACGGCGGUUUGGUUCAGGAGGAGCUGGUUUUGAAUUUGACUUGCCUUGUUAACAAUGCCUCGCUAAACCCCACUGCAUACUGACACAGAGGCCAAACGAAACACCAGUGCUUUCUGCCUGACAGCCGAGCUGAUUUGAACCGGAAAAGGAAUGAUCAAGGUCAGCUUUGGAUUCUCCUCCGACACGGAUCAUCUUUUAUCAUCGGUCUCUUGGCCCUGGAUCCCGGUGCUCAUAGUAAGUACAAGAAAUACAAUAGAAUCAAAGAAAGACCAUUCCCAACAGGACGAACAAACCACCAAUGUGCAAAAGGCAACAAACUACAAAUACAGAAAGAAAGAAAAAAAGAAAUAAAAGAUAGAAACAAACAAACAAGCAAUCGAUAUCAAGAACAUGAGAUGAAGAAUCCUUGAAAAUGAGUCCAUAGGCUGUGGAAUCAGUUCAGUGAUGGACCUGAUUUAAGGACUCAAACCAAAAUGUGUAAUCCCUCCUUUUGCCUCCAAGGAAGUUGCUGCACCCACUGAGAUCGUCCAGCAUUUUGAUUUUUGUUUUUGGGGGUGGGGUGGGGGAGGAAAAUAAUGGGCACAUGAGAAUAGGAGCUAAAACAACAGGGGAUGGAAUGAGACUGAUGGGACUGACCUGAGAGCCAGCAUAAACAAGGUGGGCAAACAACCUCCUUCAAUGACAUGGGGAAUAUGAAAUUGCAACAAACUAAAAAUUUAUUUUGGGGCCCAUGGCUUCCUGAAAGAUGGUAAAGCCAGGGCAUGGCAUGCUUGCUAGCAUUGACUAUCAGAGGUGGGAAGUCACGUUGUAGUUAUAUAAAACAAGAAAGUUUCGGAGAGGCUGCAGAAAAGGCUCACCAGAAUGCUGCCUGCUUUAGGGCGAUGAGCUAUAAGAAAAUGGUGGAUAAACUUUGGCUGAUCUCUCUGGAGGAUAAUAAAAGUUUAUAAAAUUAUAUGAGGCAUAGAUUUGAAAGGCAGUCAGAAUCCUUCCUCAGGGUAGAAAUAUCAAGUACGAGGGCUAAUUUUUAAGGUUAGAGGGUGUAACUUUAAAGUUGACUUCUGGGGCAAGUUUUUUGUUAUCAUGGUAGGUGUCAGAGGCAGCAGUUGAAUUAGAUAUGAUGGUGGAGUUUAAGAGGCUUUUAGACAGUCACAUGAACAUGCAGGAUGGGGUGAUAAAGAUCAUGUGCAAGUAGCUUUAGUUUCACUUAUUACCAUGGUCAUCACAGACAUCGUGGGCCGAAUGACCUGUUUCAGUACUCUACUCUUCUAUGUCAAUUUUCUGUGAAUCUCCACACAAUUUAAUGAUAAAGCAUAUCACACAAUGCUGCAAUGCUGGCUUUGUUUUUACUAAGUGUUUAAAUGGCAUUUUUGAUAAAUUUACAAUUGAUAAUCUUUUAUUAAUAAAUCAGGAAAUUGGGUUAGUGUAAGUAGUCAAGUCAAUGAAACUGCCCGAUCCACUAGAUCUGAAUAACUAUGUUAAAUACCUGUCUACUAGGAAACUUCAGAAGGUCAUAUUAUGGAAUAGUAGACAGAUUUCAAGUAAAUUAUGUUCAAAGGCUUUUCAGAUGUGAAUCCCUAAAAAGGAUGCUUCCUUUAACGAGCCUCUUUGAAGUCCAGCAAUUAAAUAGAAUAAACUGAGUUUUGCCAUGGUGAUUAAUACAAGAUGAGGUGUAGCCAGCUUUGUGUGCUCAAAAGGUUCCAGUGCAAUUGCAUAAAAUCACAGAAAUGCAAUUAGUGCAGGACUUUUAUUGAAGAACGAAAGAAAUUUGCUUUUGGAUGAACUCAUGCAAUUUACACUGAAUCAUCAGAAAGGUAAUGUGGAAAUUUCAGGCCAGGUGAUCUAAUAAAAGGAGGUGACUAUUGUCUGGGACCGUUGGAAAUGACUGAAUAGUAACAUUGUACAAUCAAUGGCUAUGUUUAUUACUGUUUCUGUAAACCACCCCACCCAAUAUUAAUGUGCUGGAUUAUCAGAUACAAUCUGGAGCUGAAUUCCCAGAGGUGAAGAAGGAGUGCCUGCCCUUAAUGCCAAGGCAAUAUUUGACUGAGUGUGGAAUCAAAGAGCUCUGGUAUCAGACAGAAAGCACUCCACUGGUUGGUGCAUCUCAAGUACAAGGAUGAACUUUGGGGGAAAAUAACCUGUUGAUGCUGGAAAAACAAAAAGUGCAGAUGAAAGACAGAUAACAAUAAAAUCAGUGAAGAGGGUUAUCAAGGUUUCCAGAGAUUCUUGAUCAGAUGGUUAAGAGGACCAAGAAAUUAUAAUUUAAUUUUGAGAAGUACAAUCACCUGUCAUUCUCCUACAUUGUAGCCUCAUCAGUGUCUUGUACAACAGCAUCAAAACAUUACAACUUCUAUACUUAGUCCUGAUUGAUGAAGGACAGUGUACCAGACAUCUUCUUCCCCACGUUGUCUACUUGUGAUGGCACUGCCAAGGAACUAUGUACUUGUACACUUAUGUUUCUCUGUUCUACAACACACCCAAGCCAUGUCAUUCACCGUGGAGUCCUACCCUGGUUUGCCUUCUCAAAAUUCAAUACCUCAUACUUACCUGAUAAUCAUCUCCAAUGACAAUGAUACCACCUACUUCCUGCAAUAAUGCCAAGCAAUGGCAUUUACAAGAUGAAAAAGUCUGAUGAAAUUCCCUCUCUAUUAUUAUCACUAAGCCUUCACCGAAUCCUUAUGCAACACCUUUAACCUGAAACCUAGCUGAACAAACCACAUGCCUAUGUGUGGGGUCUGUUGGUUAUUUUUUUACUGAGAUACAGCGCAGAACAGGCUCUUCCAUUCCUCUGAUCCAAGCUCACUCAGUGAUCUCCCUAUUUAACCGGAGCCAAAUCACGGGACAAUUUACCAACCAGCAUGUUGUUGGACUGUGGGAGGAAACCCAAACAGCUGACAGGCAGCUGCAGGAACUGAACCCAAGUUGCCUGUACAGUAAAGCGUUGUGCUGACCACUGCACUCCCGGGCUGCCCUAAGAUUUGCUUUAAGAUUCUCACUAUCUGAUUUCCCCAGAGGUCUUCCGCUCAACAUCGUCAUCAGAAAUCCUUCACUGCUUCCCCGAGCAAGUGCAGCCAUGGAAAUCUCGCCACCAUCAGUGACAAGACAGACCACUCGACGGUCUCCAUACCCUCAUCCCUGAGGAUCAAGGCCUCAGAGAGAGAGAAGGUUUUACCAAGGUGGGCUUAAAGUAAAAGAGUUCAAGGCUGAGGAGUCUGUGCUGCUUGCUUCGGGUGUAGAGAAGCUAUGAAGCUGAGGCAGAGGGUGUGUUAAAUGAGGUUUCCGAUCUUGGCUGGCUCUGGAACAAUCAAGGAUAGCAGAAAAGUCAGAAAAGCUAAAGAGCUGGUCAUUGAAUUCAAAGGGGUGGUGCACAAGCUUCUGUUGAGAGCUUUAGAUUCAUAGCAGUGAGCAUUACCAAUAUCCACGUGGUCAAAGUGCAAUGGUGCCUCUGCUCCAACAGGAGGGCAAAAACAAAAAUCAGUAAUUAAAUUUCUUUAGCCUCCUGAGAGAUUAGAAACACUGUUUACCCCACUAGUUGUUAUAAAUGCACCACAAAAGCAUCCUAUUCAGAUGCAUCACAGUCUGGCAUGGCUCUGCCUGAGACUGCAAGAGAGCUGUGGAAUGUAGGAGACUGGGGGGGUUAUCUAAUUGAGGUAUAAGAUGAUGAGGGGCAUAGACCAGGUGAGGGCACAUAGGCUUUUUUCCUUCCAGGAGAUGCAGCUAAAAAUCCAAGGGCAGAGAGUUGAGAUCAAAGUCAAAAAAUUUAAAAGGGACAUCGGGGGUAGCUUCUUUGCUCAAAGGGGGUUUAUAUUUGGAAUAGUGGUUGAAGUAGCAAUGUUUAGAAGCCAUCUAGGUAAGUAUGUGGAUAGAAGAGGUCAGAGGGCUGUACGUCAAAUACAGACAAAUGCAGGGAAUAACUCACUGGGCCAUACAGUCAGAAUGGAUUAGUAGGGCCGAAUGGCCUGUUUCCAAGCAGUCUGAGUAUGAGUGUAUGCCACAGCAACAGCAUCUACAAGGUGGUCUGCAACAGUUCACCAAGGUUUCAUAGACACCAUCUGCCACGUUUGUGACCCUUACCGGCUAAAAGGUCAAGGGUGGCAAAAGCAUGCUGGUCAGCACCCUGGAAGCCACACACCAUCCCGACUCAGAAGCACUUCACAGUUCCUCCACCGUCACUGGAUUAAAAUCCUGCAGCAAUAUUGUGGGUACAUUAAGGAUGGCAGUGGUUCAAGAAGGUGCUUCUCCAGGGAUGGGCAAUUACUGCUGGCCCAGCCUGAAAAGGCCCUGAACAAAUAAAAAAUCAGCCCACCACUCUUCAUAUAUCAGUGUUGCCAUCCCAACAACAGUCUAGAGAAUAUAUAAACUGAAAAUCAUAUUGACGAGUUUGCCAAAAGUAAACAUCAAGCUGAUUUACACUCACUUAUGCUUUAUGACCUCCUGAAAAUGUGGCAGAAUAAAUC
Molecule: long non-coding RNA, 4480 nt
Organism: Hypanus sabinus (Atlantic stingray)
Lineage: Eukaryota; Metazoa; Chordata; Chondrichthyes; Myliobatiformes; Dasyatidae
Exons: 3
Source: RefSeq, a predicted model, not a curated record